This 428-nucleotide ribosomal RNA is filed under the name uncultured bacterium. RNAcentral describes it as "bacterial SSU rRNA". It matches the Rfam family "Bacterial small subunit ribosomal RNA", at positions 28 to 451 of the family's 1533-position model. The record is from RNAcentral.
GAUGAACGCUGGCGGCGUGCUUAACACAUGCAAGUCGAACGGACUUUACAUGAAGCCUAGCGAUUGUAAAGUUAGUGGCGGACGGGUGAGUAACGCGUGAAUAACCUGCCUUAUACUGGGGGACAACAGUUGGAAACGACUGCUAAUACCGCAUAAGCGCACUAAAGCUGCAUGGCUCAGUGUGAAAAACUCCGGUGGUAUAAGAUGGAUUCGCGUCUGAUUAGCUAGUUGGUGAGGUAACGGCUCACCAAGGCGACGAUCAGUAGCUGGUUUGAGAGGAUGAUCAGCCACAUUGGGACUGAGACACGGCCCAGACUCCUACGGGAGGCAGCAGUAGGGAAUAUUGCACAAUGGAGGAAACUCUGAUGCAGCCAUGCCGCGUGUGUGAAGAAGGCCUUCGGGUGUAAGCACUUUCAGAGGGAGGAGAA